This is a long non-coding RNA of Leucoraja erinaceus (little skate), 3031 nucleotides long. RefSeq lists it as uncharacterized. The record is from RefSeq and is a predicted model, not a curated record. Lineage: Eukaryota; Metazoa; Chordata; Chondrichthyes; Rajiformes; Rajidae. The transcript has 4 exons.
CUUUUGUACCUUCUCUCCAACAAGAGAGGGGAGAAGAGGGAAUGACCGGGGUAUAAUCACACUCCUUUGUAAGCAAGAAUGCACAAAGCUGAACGAGAGAGGAUUUAUCCAGUGUUCGACAACAACUGGUUUUCCAGAGAUGAAUGAAGGACCAGGCAGAGUGCAGACCACGUAAACGAGGAGAUGUUGCCACAGCAGGAGUUUUACUAUUGAUGGUGGGAUUUGAACCGUGCCUUUGGAUAAUCAAUGCUGAACUCUGGCUGGUAAUCGAAUAACUUUAACCACUACUCUGUCAGGUGGUCCUUUGAUCCAUAUCAGCCUGGGAGAACCCUCACCAUGGGUGUCCUCAAUAGGACUGUCCCCUUGGUCACACCUCUGGAUGGAUUAGCUGGUCAGUUCAACAUCAUUGACCAUUAUCACGGGACUGGUGUUUGGACAUAUUCGCUAUCGCUCGCUUGGACAGCGAUGUAACUCUAAAGGUGCCUGUGACUGAACGAGGGGUGUUGCUCUUCUGUUGGUCUCACAAAACUGUGUUGCGGGAUCUUUAGUUUUGAGAUACAGCAUGGAAACAGGCCCUUCAGCCCACCCUGUCUACGCUGACCAGUGCCUAUCUUGGGGCGGCACAGUGGUGCAGCGGUAGAGUUGCUGCCUCGCAGCGCCUGAUAUCUGGGUUCAAUCCUGACUACGGGUGCUGUCUGUACAGAGUUUGCAUGCUCUCCCCGUGACUGUGUGGGUUUUCUCCAGGUGCUCCAGUUUCCUUCAAACACUCCAGGUUUGUCGGUUAAUUGGAUUCUGUACAUUUUAAAUUGUUCCCAAUGUGUAGGAUAGUGUUAGUGUACGGGGUGAUCGCUGGUUGGAGUCAGUGGGCCGAAGGGCCAGUUACCGUGCUGUACCUCUAAAAUCUAAACUCCACGUCAACCAUCGACUGACUACCUGUACACUAGCUCUAUGUUAUCCCACUUGUGCUUCCCACACACAAGGGACUAUCGUCAGAUUGCUUGUCCCAUUCCUUCUUCUUCCCAUUUCUAUCAGGCAGAAGACACAGAUGUUUGAAAGUGCGCACCACCAGACUCAGGAACAGCUUCUUCCCCUCUGUAAUCAGGCUUAGGAUACUGUCCGAUUCACCUCUACCCCAUUGUGGACAUUGGACUUUGUCUCUGGAACUGAUGCGCCACAAUGCUGAGAACUACGCUCGAGUCAACACACAGCAGCCAAUUAAACUCUUGACCAGUGCGUCUUUGGAAUGUGGGAUGGAACCGGAACAAAUCCUGGAAUGGCAUGUACUCUCCUUUGUCCUUUCAUACUUUUUAUAUAUAUUGAGCAUAAAACAGUCCAGAACAGGAACAGGCCCUUCAGUCUACAAUGCACGUGAUCCAUAGCCCUCCAUUCCCAGCAUAACCCACAUGCUUAUCUAAUAGUCUUUUAAUCACCACUAUCGUAUCUGCCUCCACCACCACCCCUGGCAACGUGCUCCGUGCACCCACCAUGCUCUGUGUAAAAAACCUUCCAGCACAUCUCCUUUAAACUUAGCCCCUCUUAGCAAUGGAACUGGUGCGCUGUAGUGCUGAGAACGAUAUUCUGCACUCCUCAAUGGUUCAAUGGUACUUUAUGAUCACAGAGACAGUGACGGUUAAAUUAUUUUUUGCAAACAGUUCAGUAAAAAAAUGACUACUCAUAAGCACUAUCGUAGAUUAAGUUCAAGUGUUUGGGAAUAGUACUCAGACAGUAUACGAGAAUCGCCAGGUUUUGGCAACAUUCUUAAGUUUAGUUUAGACUAUACCUGGGUUCAGUGAAAAGCAUUUGCUGCAUGCUACCCAGCCAGUGGAAAGACAAUGCAUGAUUACAAUUGAGCCAUUCACAGUGUACAGAUACAUGUUAAAGGGAAUGAGAUGAAUAACAUUUAGUGCAAGAUAAAGCUGAUCAAAGAUAGUCUGAGGGUUUAAAUUGUAAUAAGUGUGGAGUUCUUAACUUGACCGUAAAGGCUUUGGCAGCUUUGCAGGGUCGACCUGGCCAAGCGAAGCUCUACCUAUUAUAUUUGAGUUUGGCGAUUGUAUUUAUGUUCGGUAUAUCGGAUGUGUUUGGAUGGCGUGCAAAACAAAGCCUUUCACUGCACCUCGGUACACGUGACAAUAAUAUAAAGCUGAGCCUCACCAGCAUUGGGGAGACAGGGAAGCUGUCUCCUGUCUAGCGUGGCAUGUGCGGCCCUACGGCACAUGACCUUAUCUGGCAGCCCAGGCGUCCUGCCAGAGUCGGGGAGAAUUCAUCAGCCUUAUCUGUUGCACCCAGGCUUGGCAUGUAAGCGUGAUCGUCACGUGUCGGUUGCAUGUGAUGUUGACGGAACACGAGUGGGCGGAUUGCCACACUCACUACAUUCCCCGGGCAAUGACUGAUUGUGUUUGUCUGCUGGCAAUGCAUUGUCUGGGGCUUAUUGAUCAAAGGCAGGUCCAUUACUGGCCACCAAUCUAUGUUUGAUCACGUAUUAGCUAUUCAUUAUUGAUGGGAUAUUGAACACAGCAGUCGGAGGUUGUGGGGGAGACCAGGUAGAGACAUGUGAAAUUAUGAGAUGCAUAGAUAAGGCAGACAAUCAGAACCUUUUUCCCAGGGUGGAAAUGUCCCAGGCUAGAGGGCGCAGCUUUAAGGUGAGAGGGGCAAAGUUUAAAGGAGAUGUGCAGGGCAAUUUCUUUACACAGUGGGUGGUGGGUGCCUGGAACGUGCUGCCUGGGGCGGUGGUGGCAGAUACAAUAACUAAUGUAUUUUUUAAUGUAUUUUAAUGACCACACAGCCAGGCUGGUGGAAUUUGGGUUGUCAGCAGCGAUACAAUAAUAAAGAACACACAACCACAAUAAAAAAUGUAACACAAACAUCCACCACAGCAUUCAUCACCGUGGUGGAAGGCACAAAAAUUUGGCCAUUCCUCCUCCAUUUCCCCCCCGUGGACAGGACCAGAGUCCAGUCAGUCCAGGAUUGGCUCUUCCUCACCGGAGACCGCGGCUUUAAGUUGUUGUAGGCCGCAGGCCGGCGGUCGAGAUUU